UGAAAAAAAUUACAAGUGGAAAAUAGUCAAUUACCCUCGUCAAACAUCAUCAGUAGAAUGCGGCUUUUAUAUCAUAAGGAUGAUGAAGGACUAUUGCUUGAAUGAGACACCAAUGCGAUGGCUAACUCGUAAUUGUGGUGGAAAGAAUACAUAUACACUUGGCGAAAUUAAUGAAACUCGAAAUGAAUGGGCAGCCAAGCUUCUUGAGCGGAUGAGUCAUAGCUAGAGUAACUUUUGAAAUCAGAAUUAAAAAAUAUACUAAUUGUAGUAUUUAGUUAGUACUUACAUAGUUAUUCCAAGUGUAUAUUUUGAUAUUGUAAUUUUUAGAUUUGGAACAUACUGAGUUCUAUUGAUUUUGUCUGUCUAUUGAUU
Molecule: long non-coding RNA, 372 nt
Organism: Humulus lupulus (European hop)
Lineage: Eukaryota; Viridiplantae; Streptophyta; Magnoliopsida; Rosales; Cannabaceae
Exons: 2
Source: RefSeq, a predicted model, not a curated record